RNAcentral lists this microRNA precursor (103 nucleotides) under Marmota monax (woodchuck). Lineage: Eukaryota; Metazoa; Chordata; Mammalia; Rodentia; Sciuridae. The record is from RNAcentral.
AGUGGAAUAACUGGGUCAAAUGGUGGUUCCAUUCCAGGUUUUCUAAGGAAUCUCCAUACUGCUUUCCAGAGUGGAUGCACUAAUUUGCCGUCCCACCAGCAAU